AUUCCAAAAUGGCCAGAUUUGUCUUGUGUUCCUGAUUUUCAACCUGGAUCUCUUCUUCGCAAAUGCCGACGACGAUGAUUUUUCCAUAGCCAAAGAGGCUGCCGCUUCCUCUUCCUCUCUGCGGUCGCCAUUAAAGAAGCUCUUCUUUGAAGAGCGGAAUACGCCGAACUCGGCAAUGUCGUUUUAGAACUCAGAAGGUGGACUCAGGUCCUGAUCCAUGAGAGCAACCAACUUCUGAGUUUGAUCAUCAACACCUGUUACAGCAUAAAAGGAGAUCUUUCUCUGUGAGCUCAUUAGUGAUGCCUCUGAUGAAGUGGACCCCUGUGAUGAUCUAACUGAUGAUGAUUUUCGAAUGGCUAUUCAAAAUGCUUCUGGUGUAAGAAAUGCUUUAUUUGUGCCUGAGGUCCCAUUUGAAUUUUUAGUUAGGAGACAAAUUGCUCGUCUGUUAGACCCAAGCCUUUAGUGUCUUCGAUUUGUUUAUGAUGAACUAAUGAAGAUAAGCCACGCUUGUGAGGUAAUUGAGUUGCAAAGAUUUCCAGUAUUGAGAAAGCAUCUGGAUGAAGUCAUGGUAAAAUUUUUGCACGAUGGUGUAGAACCUGCUGAGAGAAUGAUAGGAAAUCUUAUUGAGAUGGAGGUAUUUCCUUUUGCCUUUGCGAUUGUAUCUGGUGAAACUAUGGACAAUUGGAGGUGGCAGCAAAGGAUAUCGAAU
Long non-coding RNA from Prunus dulcis (almond), 709 nucleotides. RefSeq lists it as uncharacterized. The transcript is spliced from 5 exons. The record is from RefSeq and is a predicted model, not a curated record. NCBI's taxonomy places the organism in Eukaryota, Viridiplantae, Streptophyta, Magnoliopsida, Rosales, Rosaceae.